Stipitochalara longipes BDJ is the source of this 109-nucleotide non-coding RNA. The record is from the annotation of a GenBank genome assembly. NCBI's taxonomy places the organism in Eukaryota, Fungi, Ascomycota, Leotiomycetes, Helotiales, Hamatocanthoscyphaceae.
GCGUUAGUGUAGUAGUGGUUAACUGGUCUGCUUCCCAAUUGUAAUGCUUUAGAGUGGUUACAGGUGACAUUGAAAGCAGGAGACGUGGGUUCGAACCCCACCUAACGCA